UACGGAGGAUGCGAGCGUUAUCCGGAUUUAUUGGGUUUAAAGGGUGCGCAGGCGGCACGGCAAGCCAGCGGUCAAAUCGCGGGGCUCAACCCCGCCCAGCCGUCGGAACUGCCGGGCUAGAGUGGGCGAGAAGUGCGCGGAAUGCGUGGUGUAGCGGUGAAAUGCAUAGAUAUCACGCAGAACUCCGAUUGCGAAGGCAGCGCACCGGCGCCCUACUGACGCUCAGGCACGAAAGCGUGGGUAUCGAACAGG
This 252-nucleotide ribosomal RNA is filed under the name uncultured bacterium. Its description in RNAcentral is "partial 16S ribosomal RNA". It matches the Rfam family "Bacterial small subunit ribosomal RNA", at positions 524 to 776 of the family's 1533-position model. The record is from RNAcentral.